RNAcentral lists this ribosomal RNA (376 nucleotides) under uncultured bacterium. RNAcentral describes it as "bacterial SSU rRNA". It matches the Rfam family "Bacterial small subunit ribosomal RNA", at positions 524 to 896 of the family's 1533-position model. The record is from RNAcentral.
UACAGAGGGUGCGAGCGUUAAUCGGAAUUACUGGGCGUAAAGGGUGCGUAGGUGGUCAGUUAAGUGAGAUGUGAAAGUCCUGGGCUUAACCUGGGAAAGUCAUUUCAUACUGGCUGACUAGAGUAGAGUAGAGGGAGGUGGAAUUUCCGGCGUAGCGGUGAAAUGCGUAGAUAUCGGAAGGAACACCAGUGGCGAAGGCGGCCUCCUGGACUCAUACUGACACUGAGGCACGAAAGCGUGGGGAGCAAACAGGAUUAGAUACCCUGGUAGUCCACGCUGUAAACUAUGAGAACUAGAUGUUGUGUGGGAUUUAAUCUCAUCAGUAUCGAAGCUAACGCGUUAAGUUCUCCGCCUGGGGAGUACGGUCGCAAGAUUA